Molecule: long non-coding RNA, 525 nt
Organism: Gadus morhua (Atlantic cod)
Lineage: Eukaryota; Metazoa; Chordata; Actinopteri; Gadiformes; Gadidae
Exons: 4
Source: RefSeq, a predicted model, not a curated record
UUUACCCCCAUAGAUGUGGUGCCAGCACGCACCUACGAACAUGGGCCCAAGUGAAAAAUAAAUAUAAAAACAUAAUUCAAUGUGGUAAGUUGUAAGCAUCCAUUUUAAUAAUUUCAGGUGAAUCUAGCCUAUGAUUUGCAUUGGCCUAGGAUCCAACCUUUAAUCUCAUGUUGAUUACCUGUAGCAAAUAAAAAGAAAACAAAAAUUAAUACGACUGGGAGGGGGACCGCUCCACCGCCCUUCACCAUCUCGGAGGAGUUGGCUCUUGCCAACAACAAAGGUCGGCCAAUGAUGGUAGGAGUGGAUGGGGGGAUGUCGUCUGACCCCACUGCCUCGACAUCGAACCCGUUUGUAACGAUUGAAGGUACAAACAUUGUUUUGGAGAAGCCGCCGACAAUUAAUCUCCAAUCAGAGGAAACACUGUCGGCCUGUGACUCCAGGGCGACUAUGGAGAGGGAAAUGGCAUUGGAUGAGCCAUCCACCUCAACCUCAACCUCCUCAAGGCCUUCUCGAGGGACAGACAAG